RNAcentral lists this transfer RNA (72 nucleotides) under Malassezia furfur. RNAcentral describes it as "tRNA-Pro". It matches the Rfam family "tRNA". From Rfam's summary of the family: Transfer RNA (tRNA) molecules are approximately 80 nucleotides in length. Their secondary structure includes four short double-helical elements and three loops (D, anti-codon, and T loops). The record is from RNAcentral. RNAcentral also lists the same sequence under 7 other names. Lineage: Eukaryota; Fungi; Basidiomycota; Malasseziomycetes; Malasseziales; Malasseziaceae.
CAGAUAGAUGGCCUAAUGGCUGGGCGCCCUUUUUGGGAAAGGGAAUUCGGAGUUCGAAUCUCCACUAUUUGA